UGGGGAAUAUUGCACAAUGGGGGGAACCCGUGAUGCAGCGACGCCGCGUGAGUGAAGAAGUAUUUCGGUAUGUAAAGCUCUAUCAGCAGGGAAGAGGAUGACGGUACCUGAGUAAGAAGCCCCGGCUAACUACGUGCC
This 138-nucleotide ribosomal RNA is filed under the name uncultured bacterium. RNAcentral describes it as "partial 16S ribosomal RNA". It matches the Rfam family "Bacterial small subunit ribosomal RNA", at positions 355 to 509 of the family's 1533-position model. The record is from RNAcentral.